RNAcentral lists this ribosomal RNA (253 nucleotides) under uncultured bacterium. Its description in RNAcentral is "partial 16S ribosomal RNA". It matches the Rfam family "Bacterial small subunit ribosomal RNA", at positions 524 to 776 of the family's 1533-position model. The record is from RNAcentral.
UACGAAGGGUGCAAGCAUUAAUCGGAUUUAUUGGGCGUAAAGGGCGCGUAGGCUGGAGCGAAAGUCAGAUGUGAAAUCCCGGGGCUCAACCCCGGAACUGCAUUUGAAACUGUGUUUCUAGAGGGUAGGCGGAGAAAACGGAAUUCCACAAGUAGCGGUGAAAUGCGUAGAUAUGUGGAAGAACACCAGUGGCGAAGGCGGUUUUCUAGCAUAUACCUGACGCUGAUGCGCGAAAGCAAGGGGAGCAAACAGG